This 808-nucleotide ribosomal RNA is filed under the name uncultured bacterium. RNAcentral describes it as "bacterial SSU rRNA". It matches the Rfam family "Bacterial small subunit ribosomal RNA", at positions 8 to 796 of the family's 1533-position model. The record is from RNAcentral.
AGAGUUUGAUCCUGGCUCAGAAUCAACGCUGGCGGCGUGCCUAACACAUGCAAGUCGAACGCGAAAGUGGAGCAAUCCAUGAGUAGAGUGGCAAACGGGUGAGUAACACGUGGGUGACCUGCCUUCGAGCGGGGGAUAACGUCCCGAAAGGGACGCUAAUACCGCAUGACAUCCUGUCUUUUAAGAGAUGGAGAUCAAAGCUGGGGAUCGCAAGACCUAGCACUCGAAGAGGGGCCCGCGCCUGAUUAGCUAGUUGGUGAGGUAACGGCUCACCAAGGCGACGAUCAGUAUCCGGCCUGAGAGGGCGGACGGACACACUGGGACUGAGACACGGCCCAGACUCCUACGGGAGGCAGCAGUGGGGAAUUGUUCGCAAUGGGCGCAAGCCUGACGACGCAACGCCGCGUGGAGGAUGAAGAUCUUCGGGUCGUAAACUCCUUUCGAUCGAGACGAACGGCUUCCGGGUGAACAAUCCGGGAGAGUGACGGUACCGAGAGAAGAAGCCCCGGCNNNNNNGUGCCAGCAGCCGCGGUAAUACGGGGGGGGCAAGCGUUGUUCGGAAUUACUGGGCGUAAAGGGCUCGUAGGCGGCCAACUAAGUCAGACGUGAAAUCCCUCGGCUUAACCGGGGAACUGCGUCUGAUACUGGAUGGCUAGAGGUUGGGAGAGGGAUGCGGAAUUCCAGGUGUAGCGGUGAAAUGCGUAGAUAUCUGGAGGAACACCGGUGGCGAAGGCGACAUCCUGGACCAAUUCUGACGCUGAGGAGCGAAAGCCAGGGGAGCAAACGGGAUUAGAUACCCUAGUAGUCC